This is a long non-coding RNA of Meriones unguiculatus (Mongolian gerbil), 477 nucleotides long. RefSeq lists it as uncharacterized. The record is from RefSeq and is a predicted model, not a curated record. The transcript is spliced from 4 exons. Lineage: Eukaryota; Metazoa; Chordata; Mammalia; Rodentia; Muridae.
CUUCUACAGCAUCCACUAUUCCCCAGAAGGAGGAAAACAAAAGUCUGAAGUGCGAAACCUAAGAAAAGGGUAUGGAUCCUCUCAAAGAGAAGCAACAGUGUUGAUGCUCAGUUCAGCUCUCUCCGUAAUACUGUUGGUACUAUUGAUUUCUUCAUUCUCCCAGAUCUUACUGGACUAAAGAAGGCUGAAGUAUCAUCUCAAACAAAGGAGAAACCCAUUGCCUUCCCCCAUGUCAGCAGAGACCACAAAAGAAGCCUAAUCCUGAGUUUGCACAGGAGUCCAGGAACAAUACAAAUUCAUAACUAUAUUUAAUGAAAAAGAAUGAAAUCAAUCCCCAAGGAACUGUGUCACAGAACAGACCACCCCUCCAAUCCAGCUUUAUUUGUAAUAGCCAGAAGCUGACAACCAAGUUGACGAUCAACUGAGGAAUGGAUACAAAAAGGAUGGUAUAUCUACACAAUGGAAUACUACUCAGCA